UCUGUCACUGGGCAAGCCUAUAGGCCCCAGCCGGAAUACAUUCAGUUUGCAGCCAGAGCUCGUCUGGGGCACAACAACUUCUUUUUCGGCUUAAAAAUGUUUCAAAAAUUAUCAAAAUUCUCAGUGAAAAAGAAGCAUUCUAGAACUUGUGUUCUAUUAGGAAUUACAGAAACUACUUUAAUUUGAAGGACUUAAAUCGAGGGAAGACACAAUGGUUGGUUUUAUCGUAUAGGUUUAUCGUUUUUGUACGUACACUGUGGUAUCUUGUGUAAUACCCCCAGAGAAUCUGUUUGAUGGAACCCGUCUCAAUGUGACGUGAAGUCUGGCAUCGGGAUUCGCGGAUAACCCUUUUUAUAAAUAAAAAAAAUGGUCCAAGAUUGUCAAUUGAAA
Long non-coding RNA from Drosophila kikkawai, 390 nucleotides. RefSeq lists it as uncharacterized. Lineage: Eukaryota; Metazoa; Arthropoda; Insecta; Diptera; Drosophilidae. The record is from RefSeq and is a predicted model, not a curated record.